RNAcentral lists this ribosomal RNA (253 nucleotides) under uncultured bacterium. RNAcentral's name for it is "partial 16S ribosomal RNA". It matches the Rfam family "Bacterial small subunit ribosomal RNA", at positions 524 to 776 of the family's 1533-position model. The record is from RNAcentral.
UACGUAGGGGGCAAGCGUUAUCCGGAAUUACUGGGUGUAAAGGGUGCGUAGGCGGCACGCCAAGUCAGUUGUGAAACCCGUAGGCUCAACCUACGGCUUGCAAUUGAAACUGGCGAGCUAGAGUACAGGAGAGGAAAGCGGAAUUCCUAGUGUAGCGGUGAAAUGCGUAGAUAUUAGGAGGAACACCAGUGGCGAAGGCGGCUUACUGGACUGUAACUGACGUUGAGGCUCGAAAGCGUGGGGAGCAAACAGG